Molecule: long non-coding RNA, 1150 nt
Organism: Rosa rugosa (rugosa rose)
Lineage: Eukaryota; Viridiplantae; Streptophyta; Magnoliopsida; Rosales; Rosaceae
Exons: 3
Source: RefSeq, a predicted model, not a curated record
AAAUACAAAAAAUCAGAUUUCUCAAUAAGGAAACCCGAAAAUUUCCAGAUUUUUCUCCUCCUCGCUGCCUUGGCUUCACGGCGUCGCCACGACUUCAUCCGGCCACCUAUGGCCAUGAAAUUGAUAUCAAUCUCUUCGCCUUGAAACCAGCUUUCCAUUCAUAUAUGUCUUGCAUCCUAUCAUUCACCAUAGACAACGAAUCGAAGCAAAGAAGGUCAGACCAUUUUUCAUGCAUUUCUUCAAAUUCCAGCCAACUCCGGCAAAGGUAGGAGGGGAGACCAACUGGGCUUUGUUCGCCUUGCCAUGCUCUAUAAACUCACCAAGUUUCACAUCUCGAUUCAACCCGAGGAAGACGAAUUUCAGAUUUGAGCGAUUUUGGGCGAUUUCGGCCUCUUUCUUCUUGAGGUGAUUGGCGGAUUGAUUUGGCGGACGAUUCGUAAAAUCGUUGUUGAGCUGUUUAGAAGACGCAACGGGAAUUAGAGCGGGUAUUCCUACAGGACAGGAGAACCAGGACGGUGAUCGUGCGGUUAGUGCAAUUGUUAGAGUUUUACAGCAAUUGUAAGUUGUGAGGUGUGUUAUGCUCAUUUGAGCUUUACAAUAUUGCUUGUGAGAGUGAAUUGUAAUAAUGAACUCGAAGUUUCGAGAUUUGGAUUUUGUAAUUGUAAUUAUUCAUGUUUCGGAUUUGAAUUUACUAUUCAAAAUUCGGGGCGUGACAGUUUGGUAUCAGAGCGUAAGGUGCAUAUUUGGUGAUGUGUCAAUACCUUCCGAGUGAUGGCCCGUCUGCAGCGGAUCCCCAUCGUGUGCUCUUUGGUAUUGGCUAAGUCAUUGGGUAUGCGUGAGUGUUGGGAGUUGUUUAGGCCGCUAGGUCGUUUAGGGAACGUGAAUACAUUCCCUAUAGUAUUGACUUGGUUAAUAUGAAUUUGUAUUUGACUUAUACUGUGUUUUAAGUGUUAUACAAGUAUUAGCCAAGCAUACUAUACUCCUUAGGUGAUGGAUAUUCGAAGGGGUUGUACUUAGAACCUUACAGUUGUCUUGUAGGUUCGUAUGAGAAUAAGUUCAGUGGCCGCGAGUUACAAUCCUUGAGGAAUAGGAACCUCUUGAUUCAACUCUGUUAAGUCAACGAGGAUUGUUUUAUGGAAAUGAGGUUCUU